GGACAGCUGACUCAGCAGAGCAUAAGACUCUCAAUCUCAGGGCUGUGGGUUUGAGCCCCACGUUGGGCA
This is a non-coding RNA of Podarcis lilfordi (Lilford's wall lizard), 69 nucleotides long. The record is from the annotation of a GenBank genome assembly. Lineage: Eukaryota; Metazoa; Chordata; Lepidosauria; Squamata; Lacertidae.